This 466-nucleotide ribosomal RNA is filed under the name uncultured bacterium. Its description in RNAcentral is "bacterial SSU rRNA". It matches the Rfam family "Bacterial small subunit ribosomal RNA", at positions 338 to 795 of the family's 1533-position model. The record is from RNAcentral.
CCUACGGGGGGCAGCAGUGAGGAAUAUUGCGCAAUGGGCGAAAGCCUGACGCAGCGACGCCGCGUGGGGGACGAAGGUCUUCGGAUUGUAAACCCCUUUCGACCGGAAAGAACCGCCAUUGGGUGAAUAAUCCAGUGGCCUGACGGUACCGGGAGAAGAAGCCACGGCUAACUCUGUGCCAGCAGCCGCGGUAAGACAGAGGUGGCGAGCGUUGUUCGGAUUUACUGGGCGUAAAGCGUGCGUAGGCGGUUGUGUGUGUCCGAUGUGAAAUCCCGGGGCUUAACCCCGGAGCUGCAUCGGAAACUGCGCGACUUGAGGAUAGGAGGGGGAAGCGGAAUUCCCGGUGUAGCGGUGAAAUGCGUAGAUAUCGGGAAGAACACCGGUGGCGAAGGCGGCUUCCUGGCCUAUUUCUGACGCUGAGGUACGAAAGCGUGGGGAGCAAACAGGAUUAGAUACCCCGGUAGUC